Molecule: ribosomal RNA, 950 nt
Filed under: uncultured archaeon
Lineage: Archaea
Description: bacterial SSU rRNA
Rfam family: Archaeal small subunit ribosomal RNA
Source: RNAcentral
UUCCGGUUGAUCCCGCCGGACCCGACUGCUAUUUGGGUGAGGAUAAGCCAUGCGAGUUGAAUGGGAUACCUAAAGUUCCCAUGGCAAACUGCUCAGUAACACAUGAUCAACUUACCCUAUAGAGAAAAAUAACCUCGGGAAACUGAGGAUAAUGUUUCAUAGUUGAAUUGGCUUGGAAAAGUUUUUCGACGAAAGGGGUAAAAAAAAUGGUUUUUAUCUGCUAUAGGAUAGGAUCGUGUUCGAUUAUGGUUGUUGGUGAGGUAAUGGCUCACCAAGCCGAUAAUCGAUAGGGGCCGUGAGAGCGGGAGCCCCGAGAUGGGUACUGAGACAACGACCCAGGCCUUACGAGGCGCAGCAGGCGCGAAACCUCCGCAAUACACGAAAGUGUGACGGGGUUACCCAAAGUGUUCAUUAGAACUGUGGUAGGUGAGUAAUGUUCCCUACUAGAAAGGAGAGGGCAAGGCUGGUGCCAGCCGCCGCGGUAAAACCAGCUCUUCAAGUGGUCGGGAUAAUUAUUGGGCUUAAAGUGUCCGUAGCCGGUUUAGUAAGUUCCUGGUAAAAUCGGGUAGCUUAACUAUCUAUAUGCUAGGAAUACUACUAUACUAGAGGGCGGGAGAGGUCUGAGGUACUACAGGGGUAGGGGUGAAAUCUUAUAAUCCUUGUUGGACCACCAGUGGCGAAGGCGUCAGACUGGAACGCGCCUGACGGUGAGGGACGAAAGCCAGGGGAGCGAACCGGAUUAGAUACCCGGGUAGUCCUGGCCGUAAACGAUGCAUACUAGGUGAUGGCACGGCCAUGAGCCGUGUCAGUGCCGUAGGGAAACCGUUAAGUGUGCCGCCUGGGAAGUACGGUCGCAAGGCUAAAACUUAAAGGAAUUGGCGGGGGAGCACCACAAGGGUGAAGCCUGCGGUUCAAUUGGAUUCAACGCCGGGAAUCACUAGUGCGGCCGC